UACGGAGGGUGCAAGCGUUGUUCGGAAUUACUGGGCGUAAAGCGCGUGUAGGCGGCCUCUUAAGUCUGGUGUGAAAGCCCGGGGCUUAACCCCGGAAGGGCACUGGAGACUGGGAGGCUUGAGUACCGGAGAGGAAGGUGGAAUUCCUGGUGUAGCGGUGAAAUGCGUAGAUAUCAGGAGGAACACCGGUGGCGAAGGCGGCCUUCUGGACGUGUACUGACGCUGAGACGCGAAAGCGUGGGGAGCAAACAGG
This 253-nucleotide ribosomal RNA is filed under the name uncultured bacterium. RNAcentral's name for it is "partial 16S ribosomal RNA". It matches the Rfam family "Bacterial small subunit ribosomal RNA", at positions 524 to 776 of the family's 1533-position model. The record is from RNAcentral.